Molecule: long non-coding RNA, 184 nt
Organism: Triticum dicoccoides
Lineage: Eukaryota; Viridiplantae; Streptophyta; Magnoliopsida; Poales; Poaceae
Exons: 3
Source: RefSeq, a predicted model, not a curated record
GGUGGUUGCACGCCUCUGCAGGUGGAUUCAUAGGAUUCGCAAUGGACAGAUAACGGUUGAUGGCCAAGUUGUCACUGAUCCAGAUAUGAUUCUCAGGGAGGGUUCUAAGUUGGUAUAUCAUCGCCUCGCAUGGAAGGAGCCAUUUGCACCACAUUUGCUUCAAGUGCUUUAUGAAGAUGACUGA